UCCCAAGCCGCUGAGCCCCACCACUGGCCUCAAGCGAAGAUUACAUUCCACCUGGCCCAACCUGCGCGGGCCGCGCCCACGGACUGUCCCUCGCCUUGCGCCUGCACAUCCCACUCAGUCCCGCGCUGCCCCUGGCCUCGCCCUCGCAGUGGAUGCCUGUCUUGUGCACGGAGUCGCCAUUUUGCCGCUAGAGAAGCCCUCUGGAGACCUGAACGCUCUUUUUUCAGUGGCCUAGCCUGCGGCGGCCCUGGGGCUGGGGUCUGGGCCAGGUAGGCGGGCGGGAGCCGGCUGUGAGCGGCGGCGCGGCCCGGUGGCCCCGAGGUUAGCGGGCGCAGGUGCCUCGGCGGGGAGUCCUGCCUGCGGUUUCACGGGCCCAGGGCAGCGGGCAUGGCUCUGGGGGCGACCCGGCCUCAGCCCGCAAGGCCCCUCUCUCCCUUCCUCCCUUCUCUACUUCAGGAGUCCACACAGCCAGGCCUGGCGCGCGGCCUGGAGUCGUUGGCCCCAGCCAGGCGCUGCUGGGAACCCCGCUCUGAUGUGGGACCUGUGGGAGGUCGCUCAGGUCUCACAUGGCCUCUGCUGUCACUGAGCCUGGCUGUGCUGAGCCGGGGACAUUUACCCCCAAAAGGAUGAUUUCAUUCCACUCCGAGCUCCUCCCUGCAGAGACUGAAAGAGGACCAAGAUAUUACAGUAUUUGUCCAAUUAUCUUGGAAAAUUUGGAGUUCAGCAAGAUGUUGAUUCAUUUUCUGUGCAGACUGAGAGACAAGCCACACAACCUGUUGUUGGAUUUUGCUUUUAAGUCAUGUACCAUGUUCAUCUUUUUAUUCUGAUUGACUCUAUUCUGUUUUGUUUCAUUUGGCUUCAUUCUCUUUAAAAUAAAAUUAAAAAACAUUUUCUUGCUGAGCAUGGUGGUUCAUGCCUGUAAUCCCAGCACUCUGGAGGGUUACACAGGUGCCUAACCCUCCAGGGAAUGCCAACCUAGCCUGAAAUACUUGGUGAGUUCAAGGUCAUGCUGCAGUACAUAGCAAGACCUUAUCUCUGAACAAAAUGAACAAACCCUUUUUCCUCUUAUCUUAUUUUAAUGUAGCACAAAUAGACACUAAUAAAAAUAUGAAACCCCUUAUAAAUAGAUUAAAGAUUUCAUAUUAUGCAGUUUAUAUACUAUGAAACUAUAGUAUAUUUAUAUACUAUAGUAUAAUUUAUAUAACUACUCUAAAACUGCAUAGUAUGAAACUAGUAUGAGGUAUGCAGUUUCAUAUUAUGCAGUUUAUAUUCUAUGUUUAGUGAUCCUGGGGAUUUCUGCAUGAGCUAUAUGCCCCUGCACUUAAAAAAAAAUUUUUUUUUGAGACAGGGUCUAAAUAAUUCACUCAAUUUCACAGGUUGAGUUUAAACUUGUGGUCCUCCCAGAGUGCUGGGAGUACAGGUUCACGCUAUCCUUACUUAGAAAUUCACAAUAAUUAUGUAUGUUUAUGGGAUAAAAAUGUGCCUUUAAUCUAUGGCUCCUUUGUAGAAAGAAUCAAUCUAGUUAAUGUACCUCCUGCCUUACUAAUCUACAAAUUCUUUCACAGUGACUAGGACUGCAAAUCCCAUUGUUUAGCAGUUUUGAAAGCUAUUCUUCUUAUUAACUCUGGUUACCAUAAUGUUUAGUGGACAAUUCAAAAUUUCUUCUCCACCGUGACUGAGAUUUUGUAUUCUUGGGUGAACAUUCUCCUUUCACCAGUUCUCGUGGAACUGAUCAUUUUUUUAAAAAUCAGACUGCCAAAGAAAGGUGUGAAGGCUCAAGGAACUUGGGGCACAUUGCUAUUCAGAAAGCCCAAGUAGUGGUACUCUGCAGGCUCCCAGGUUUUAUUGUUUUUUUGUUUGUUUUUUCCUUAACUGAAUUCUAGGAAUUCAAUGCAGGGCUGUCUUAGUUACUUUAUACUUGUUGCUGAGACAAAAUAUCUGAUGCCAAAAGUUGGGAAAGGAAAGGUUUAUUUCUUACAAUUUUUGGAAGUUUCAGUCCAUACUCAGUUUGCUUUACGGCAGGCUGGCAUGGCAGGGCCAAGGUUCAUGGCUGCUACAAACAGCAAGGAGGAAACAGGCAAAAGAGCAAGACAGGCCUUCUUUCUGCCAUUACAUCACAUCCUGGCUCUACCCCUAGGUCAGUGUAGCACUCACACCCCCAGUCCAAGGGAUAAACAAUGAACCAGUCAAAAAUGCAUAAUAUAAACUCAUGAGGCCUGGGGGCCAUAGACAUAAACUAUGACAAGGGCCUCGCAAUGAACUAGACUAACUUCUGUUUUAAAAUUCUUUUUUAUUUUGAGCCAGGGUAACCACAAGGCACUACAGUGCUGAGACACCAUUCUUGGACAUAGAUUCUUACAUGUCUAUGUGUGGAUGUACCUUGAUUUCAUGUUGGAAACCACUAGGAGGUGAAGCGGCUCUGAGCAGGAUUUAAAUUUUACUAAUUGGCUUUCUAUGUUUAGCUGUGAAUCUGUCCUAGGCCGAAGCCCCUUGCCUGGAGACAGGAGCUGAUUCAUAGUAAGUGAACCUCUAUGAAUCACAGGUCCUGGCUGAGGCCUGUAGUGGCUUGUGAGGCCAGAGAUACCUUAAAAGGCAAGAUAAGGCUACAGCUGUGGACAGUCUGGCUCCAACACCAAUUAAUUAGGUAGAGACUGCAGAUGCAAAGAUUACUCCUACAGUCUCACUUCUACCAUGUCUCCAUGAUAAGACAGUGCUACUGAAUUGACUUGAUUCAUUACUUGGAGACAUCCUUGAAGUGACUCCCAAGGUCUUGCUCAUUGGUUGUACUUUCCUCAGUUUCUCUGCCCUUUGUACUUGGUCCUAAAAUAAGUGGACUGACACAGAGAAUCCUUUGUCUUUACCUUCACAGUGGAGCCCUACAAAUCAUAUAAUUUCUCACUUUUUUUUUAACCUCCACCAUAAAAUAGUUUGGGAGAUCCGGGAUCUAGGGCAGAACCCCAUAAUGUCAGAGACAUUUCACUUUGAAAACCGAGAUCCUUAUUCUCACACCCAUGUAUUAUUUCAUGAUCAGAUUCCAUGGCUUCCUUUCCUGUGGACCCAGGGAGACCAAUCUCAGCAUCCCCCCAGCUUUCCCUGCAUCCUGUGGCCCACACUGAUGCCCCACAUCCUUUACAUGGAAGAUAAGGAUGGUCCCAGUUCCUUUGUGCUUCAAACAGCUGUGAAUCAAACUCCUGAAAAGAAAUCUUGCAAAGUUGUGCAGCUCUCCAUAAGUCAUAAACCUUUGUAAGUCAUAGCACUCUGAUGGAGCUGCAAGAUGGGGCUCUGCUCUGCUCCCCAUGUUCUCCCCAGUGCUGUUCAGCACCUGCCUUAAACCCUGCCAUCAGAUGGAGACACAGCACAUCUCAGGGAUGUGUGCCUGCAUGAAUCAGCUUUGGAGGCUCAGCGUUUUCUGCCCUUGUUGGUCACCUGUGGUGAUUCUCUUUUGAUUUAUAAGAAUUUUUCAUCUCUCACAGAAUGAACUCAUGACACCACUUUUCCACCUGUAUCACAAACUAUCUGUCUGACUAUGUCUUGUAAGGAAAGGUUUCUUGCUGUAGUUUGUACAUUAUACUUGUUUCUGUUUUUCAAAUGCAAUGAAUCAGACCUUUCUAGCUCCCUUCUAUCACUGAAGUCAAGGGAACAUUUUCCAAAAUAAAAAGAUGAGUAGAUACACAA
Long non-coding RNA from Cavia porcellus (domestic guinea pig), 3675 nucleotides. RefSeq lists it as uncharacterized. The record is from RefSeq and is a predicted model, not a curated record. The transcript has 2 exons. NCBI's taxonomy places the organism in Eukaryota, Metazoa, Chordata, Mammalia, Rodentia, Caviidae.